RNAcentral lists this ribosomal RNA (401 nucleotides) under uncultured bacterium. RNAcentral describes it as "partial 16S ribosomal RNA". It matches the Rfam family "Bacterial small subunit ribosomal RNA", at positions 360 to 776 of the family's 1533-position model. The record is from RNAcentral.
AAUAUUGGGCAAUGGGGGAAACCCUGACCCAGCGACGCCGCGUGAAGGAUGAAGGCCUUCGGGUUGUAAACUUUUUUGGAUGGGGACGAAGAAAUGACGGUACCCAUCGAACAAGCCACGGCUAACUACGUGCCAGCAGCCGCGGUAAUACGUAGGUGGCGAGCGUUAUCCGGAAUUACUGGGUGUAAAGGGCGUGUAGGCGGAUGAACAAGUCUGAUGUGAAAUCUUGCGGCUUAACUGCAAGCUGUCAUUAGAAACUGUAUAUCUUGAGUGUCAGAGGGGAAAGUGGAAUUCCUAGUGGAGCGGUAAAAUGCGUAGAUAUUAGGAGGAACACCGGUGGCGAAGGCGACUUUCUGGCUGACAACUGACGCUGAGGCGCGAAAGCGUGGGGAGCAAACAGG